UGGGGAAUAUUGCACAAUGGGGGAAACCCUGAUGCAGCGACGCCGCGUGAACGAAGAAGGUAUUCGUAUCGUAAAGUUCUGUCCUAUGGGAAGAUAAUGACAGUACCAUAGAAGAAAGCUCCGGCUAAAUACGUGCCAGCAGCCGCGGUAAUACGUAUGGAGCGAGCGUUGUCCGGAAUUAUUGGGCGUAAAGGGUACGCAGGCGGUUUAAUAAGUCGAAUGUUAAGAUCGGGGCUCAACCCCGUAAAGCAUUGGAAACUGAUAAACUUGAGUAGUGGAGAGGAAAGUGGAAUUCCUAGUGUAGUGGUGAAAUACGUAGAUAUUAGGAGGAAUACCAGUAGCGAAGGCGACUUUCUGGACACAAACUGACGCUGAGGUACGAAAGCGUGGGGAGCAAACAGG
This 402-nucleotide ribosomal RNA is filed under the name bacterium. Its description in RNAcentral is "partial 16S ribosomal RNA". It matches the Rfam family "Bacterial small subunit ribosomal RNA", at positions 355 to 776 of the family's 1533-position model. The record is from RNAcentral.